UACGUAGGUGGCGAGCGUUACUCGGAAUUACUAGGCGUAAAGCGCGUGUAGGCGGGAGCUUAAGUUCGCUGUUAAAUCUCAUGGCUUAACCAUGAAAUGCCGGCGAAUACUGGGCUUCUUGAAUUCGGUAGAGGAAACUGGAAUUCCAGGUGUAGCGGUGAAAUGCGUAGAUAUCUGGAAGAACGCCAAAGGCGAAGGCAGGUUUCUGGGCCGCAAUUGACGCUGAGACGCGAAAGCUAGGGGAGCAAACAGG
Molecule: ribosomal RNA, 253 nt
Filed under: uncultured Elusimicrobiales bacterium
Lineage: Bacteria; Pseudomonadati; Elusimicrobiota; Elusimicrobia; Elusimicrobiales
Description: partial 16S ribosomal RNA
Rfam family: Bacterial small subunit ribosomal RNA
Source: RNAcentral